AAAGCCAAUGAUUAGAGG
RNAcentral lists this small nuclear RNA (18 nucleotides) under Arabidopsis thaliana (thale cress). RNAcentral's name for it is "snRNA_04068". The record is from RNAcentral. Lineage: Eukaryota; Viridiplantae; Streptophyta; Magnoliopsida; Brassicales; Brassicaceae.